Molecule: ribosomal RNA, 497 nt
Filed under: uncultured bacterium
Lineage: Bacteria
Description: partial 16S ribosomal RNA
Rfam family: Bacterial small subunit ribosomal RNA
Source: RNAcentral
GAUGAACGCUGGCGGCGUGCCUAAUACAUGCAAGUCGAGCGAACAGAUGAGGAGCUUGCUCCUCUGACGUUAGCGGCGGACGGGUGAGUAACACGUGGAUAACCUACCUAUAAGACUGGGAUAACUUCGGGAAACCGGAGCUAAUACCGGAUAAUAUAUUGAACCGCAUGGUUCAAUAGUGAAAGACGGUUUUGCUGUCACUUAUAGAUGGAUCCGCGCCGCAUUAGCUAGUUGGUAAGGUAACGGCUUACCAAGGCAACGAUGCGUAGCCGACCUGAGAGGGUGAUCGGCCACACUGGAACUGAGACACGGUCCAGACUCCUACGGGAGGCAGCAGUAGGGAAUAUUCCGCAAUGGGCGAAAGCCUGACGGAGCAACACCGCGUGAGUGAUGAAGGUCUUCGGAUCGUAAAACUCUGUUAUUAGGGAAGAACAAAUGUGUAAGUAACUAUGCACGUCUUGACGGUACCUAAUCAGAAAGCAACGGCUAACUACGUG